CACUCCUACGGGAGGCAGCAGUGGGGAAUAUUGGACAAUGGGCGCAAGCCUGAUCCAGCCAUGCCGCGUGAGUGAUGAAGGCCCUAGGGUUGUAAAGCUCUUUCACCGGUGAAGAUAAUGACGGUAACCGGAGAAGAAGCCCCGGCUCACUUCGUGCCAGCAGCCGCGGUAAUACGAAGGGGGCUAGCGUUGUUCGGAUUUACUGGGCGUAAAGCGCACGUAGGCGGACUAUUAAGUCAGGGGUGAAAUCCCGGGGCUCAACCCCGGAACUGCCUUUGAUACUGGUAGUCUUGAGUUCGAGAGAGGUGAGUGGAAUUCCGAGUGUAGAGGUGAAAUUCGUAGAUAUUCGGAGGAACACCAGUGGCGAAGGCGGCUCACUGGCUCGAUACUGACGCUGAGGUGCGAAAGCGUGGGGAGCAAACAGGAUUAGAAACCCUUGUAGUCCCAUGAU
This 451-nucleotide ribosomal RNA is filed under the name uncultured organism. Its description in RNAcentral is "partial 16S ribosomal RNA". It matches the Rfam family "Bacterial small subunit ribosomal RNA", at positions 334 to 801 of the family's 1533-position model. The record is from RNAcentral.